GGGGUUUAGUGGCGCACGGGUGCGUAACGCGUGGGAAUCUGCCCUUGGGUUCGGGAUAACAGUUGGAAACGACUGCUAAUACCGGAUGAUGGCUUCGGCCCAAAGAUUUAUCGCCCAGGGAUGAGCCCGCGUAGGAUUAGGUAGUUGGUGGGGUAAAGGCCCACCAAGCCGACGAUCCUUAGCUGGUCUGAGAGGAUGAUCAGCCACACUGGGACUGAGACACGGCCCAGACUCC
This 235-nucleotide ribosomal RNA is filed under the name uncultured bacterium. Its description in RNAcentral is "partial 16S ribosomal RNA". It matches the Rfam family "Bacterial small subunit ribosomal RNA", at positions 87 to 339 of the family's 1533-position model. The record is from RNAcentral.